UACGUAGGGUGCAAGCGUUGUCCGGAAUUAUUGGGCGUAAAGAGCUCGUAGGCGGUCUGUCGCGUCGGCUGUGAAAACUUGGGGCUCAACCCCAAGCCUGCAGUCGAUACGGGCAGACUAGAGUGCGGUAGGGGAGACUGGAAUUCCUGGUGUAGCGGUGAAAUGACGCAGAUAUCAGGAGGAACACCGGUGGCGAAGGCGGGGUCUCUGGGCCGUAACUGACGCUGAGGAGCGGAAAGCGUGGGGAGCGAACAGG
Molecule: ribosomal RNA, 256 nt
Filed under: uncultured bacterium
Lineage: Bacteria
Description: partial 16S ribosomal RNA
Rfam family: Bacterial small subunit ribosomal RNA
Source: RNAcentral